Molecule: long non-coding RNA, 1188 nt
Organism: Tyto alba (common barn owl)
Lineage: Eukaryota; Metazoa; Chordata; Aves; Strigiformes; Tytonidae
Exons: 3
Source: RefSeq, a predicted model, not a curated record
CUGCCAUAGUACUUUGCCUGCAUUAGAAAGCUUCUGUCUUAAAACAAGCUACCCCAGGAUGGAACUUGCAGAAAACAUCUGACAGCAAAUUAAUUUCAAUAAAAACUGGUUUCUCCUUCACAAACAGUACCAAACUAAUUAAAAAGCAGCCACCUCUGAAGUGCAACGCUACAUCCGUUCAGGAAACAAGGUGCUAUGACUCUGGAAAGAGACUGGCUGAGGUCACUGGGGCAAACCCCAACUGCUGGAAAGAACAAGGAAGACUUCAUCUUACAUUGUGGGAGUUGAAGAAGAAGGAAGGAAGAAAGGGGGAGCAACACUGCCUAGCUUCCAAGAUCUGAAGAGGCAGGAUGACACUCAGGAGCAGCUGGGAAUGAAGAACAACUGCUUUUUCCUGGAGCAAGAGCUCUGAGGGAUUGCUUUUAGCUUCCACGGUUCCUCCAGUUUGGGAAGGACACUAGAUCUGGCCAUCCUUGGAGACUUAUUGAUGGGACAGCAGGUGACUGUUGAGCAUUAGUGGUCGUAGGUAAAUUCUGAACUUAAGAAUGCCUGAUAAUUGUACUUGGACCUGAAAAUUCCACAACCAAGAAAACCAACUCAUUUAUUUGACAGGCAGGAAUGCAGCCUGGUGAGUUCCAAGGCUGGAAAAAAAAAGGAUAUUCUAGUGAAGCAUCUGUUACUGACCAAAGGUCUUCCUUCUGCAGCCAGUAGGAUUCCUCAUUAAUUCUGAUCUCAGAUCUGCUACAAAGGUAUACAGUUUCUAGUACUUAAAGCAGAAUCAUAAAAUAAUGUAAGCUGGAAUGAACUGCUGGACAUCAUCUAGCUCAAUCGCUUGCUCACACCAUGGUCAACUUCAAAGUUAGAUCAGCUUGGCCAGAGAAUGUCCUGUCAAGUUUUGAGGAUCUGCAGGAACAGAAAUUCUGUGGCCCCUCUGGGCAGACCCUUCCUGUGCUGAUCCACCCUCAUCAUGAGCAUCCAAGAGGUACAGAUGAUGCAGAAGACCUUAUCUCUUACAGAAGGAAGAUACUGCUGAGCAGCAGAUGGACCAGCUCCUGCAACAACUUGCUCCAUGGUAAUGGUAGUAUUUCAGCAAAGGGGACAGCUCUGAGGCAACUGGAUGCCAACCCUUACCACUUACUUUGGCCAGUAGGGACUGAGAGUGGAAGAUUCAGAAUCACUCAGAACAGA